This 497-nucleotide ribosomal RNA is filed under the name uncultured bacterium. Its description in RNAcentral is "partial 16S ribosomal RNA". It matches the Rfam family "Bacterial small subunit ribosomal RNA", at positions 29 to 507 of the family's 1533-position model. The record is from RNAcentral.
AAUGAACGCUGGCGGCAUGCCUAAUACAUGCAAGUCGAACGAACACACGGGGUGUUUUCUCCCAUGGCGUUAGAGGCGGUCGGAUGAGUCACACGUGGAUAACAUAACUCUCAGACUGGGAUGAUAUCGGGGAAUAAGAUCUGCUAACGGAUAAUAUAUCGCACCGCAUUGUUCAAUAGUUAAAUAAGCUUUUUGUGUCGCUUAUAGCCUAAUACGCGCCGAAUUAGUUACUUGGUAAGGUAACGGCUUACCCCGGCAACGAUGCGUAGCCGAUCUGAGAGCGAGAACGGACACACUGUAAGUGAGACACGUUCCAGACUCCGAGGGGAGGCAGCAGUAGGGAAUCUUCCGCAAUGGGCGAGAGCGUGAUGUAGCAAAGCCGCGUGAGUGAUGAAGGACUUCUGAUCGGAAAGCGCUGUUGUUAGGAAAGAUCAAAAGCGUAAUUACCCAGGAACGUAUUGACGGUACCGAAACAAUAAGCCACGGCUAACUCCGUG